Molecule: transfer RNA, 75 nt
Filed under: Chloropicon sieburthii
Lineage: Eukaryota; Viridiplantae; Chlorophyta; Chloropicophyceae; Chloropicales; Chloropicaceae
Description: tRNA-Asp
Rfam family: tRNA
About the family: Transfer RNA (tRNA) molecules are approximately 80 nucleotides in length. Their secondary structure includes four short double-helical elements and three loops (D, anti-codon, and T loops).
Source: RNAcentral
GGGGAAGUAACUCAGUUUGGUUAGAGUAUUGGCCUGUCACGCCAAAAGCCGCGGGUUCGAGUCCCGUCUUUCCCG